This 498-nucleotide unclassified non-coding RNA is filed under the name Zea mays. RNAcentral describes it as "misc RNA Zm00001eb412820". Lineage: Eukaryota; Viridiplantae; Streptophyta; Magnoliopsida; Poales; Poaceae. The record is from RNAcentral.
GAGCUUAUCCCCACGCCGUCCUCUAUGAUUUUUUUUCAGCCGCCGCCCAGGCUUCUCUGUUCACACGCACGUCUGCUCCCUCUUCUUCCUCCCUUUCCGCGCUCUCUCUCCAGCGCCCAUCUCUCUCUCGUGGAGCUCCCUGGCGAGCGCACCUGCUCCCUCUGCCCUCUCCCCUGCAGCUCUCUCUUGGUGCCCAGAAUCUUUUGCUUACAUCCCCUGGCCGUGUGCCCCUGCGCCGGUCGAGUUCCCUGCGCUCGCCCAUGCCGCGCGCUCCUCCAUGCCGGCGUCCUCUGCUCGGCCAUGGCGUGGAUAGCAGACGAGCCCCUGCUUUUCUUUCCCUCCCUCUCUUCUCUACCCCUGUUCGGCCUCCAACUCCAGCCAUGGUGGCCACCGGAUGCGUUCCUCCCGGCCCCGGCUUCCCAUGGCGCCCGCUCGGUCCCUGCUCGGAUUUUAUCCGUACCGAGCUCCCUCGCCUUCAAUUCCUUGGCCGUCGCACCU